RNAcentral lists this ribosomal RNA (429 nucleotides) under Verrucomicrobiota bacterium. Its description in RNAcentral is "Verrucomicrobia bacterium partial 16S ribosomal RNA". It matches the Rfam family "Bacterial small subunit ribosomal RNA", at positions 355 to 776 of the family's 1533-position model. The record is from RNAcentral. Lineage: Bacteria; Pseudomonadati; Verrucomicrobiota.
UAGGGAAUCUUCCGCAAUGGACGAAAGUCUGACGGAGCAACGCCGCGUGAGUGAAGAAGGAUUUCGGUUCGUAAAACUCUGUUGUUAGGGAAGAAAAAAUGUAUAGUAACUAUAUACAAAAGAGACGGUACCUAACCAGAAAGCCACGGCUAACUACGUGCCAGCAGCCGCGGUAAUACGUAGGUGGCAAGCGCUGUCCGGAAUUAUUGGGCGUAAAGCGCGCGCAGGUGGUUUAGAAAGUCUGAUGUGAAAGCCCACGGCUCAACCGUGGAGGGUCAUUGGAAACUAAUAAACUUGAGUGCAGGAGAGAAAAGUGGAAUUCCUAGUGUAGCGGUGAAAUGCGUAGAGAUUAGGAGGAACACCGGUGGCGAAAGCGGCUUUUUGGCCUGCAACUGACACUGAGGCGCGAAAGCGUGGGGAGCAAACAGG